This 22-nucleotide microRNA is filed under the name Hyalella azteca. Its description in RNAcentral is "miR-122". Lineage: Eukaryota; Metazoa; Arthropoda; Malacostraca; Amphipoda; Hyalellidae. The record is from RNAcentral.
AGUGUGACAAUGGUGUUUUCCA